GAUCCUUUUGUAGUUCUUGAGCAUGAUGAUUGGGUAUUCACGCUGCUGUGUGACAUGUGCCUCCUCCCAAACCUUGUUACAACAUCGGCACAUUACCUGUCUGACGUGA
RNAcentral lists this small nucleolar RNA (109 nucleotides) under Cervus elaphus hippelaphus. It matches the Rfam family "Small nucleolar RNA U13". The record is from RNAcentral. Lineage: Eukaryota; Metazoa; Chordata; Mammalia; Artiodactyla; Cervidae.